Molecule: long non-coding RNA, 3307 nt
Filed under: Equus asinus (donkey)
Lineage: Eukaryota; Metazoa; Chordata; Mammalia; Perissodactyla; Equidae
Description: lncRNA (ENSEASG00005029003.1)
Source: RNAcentral
GGCUGAACAAGACCCUGGAUUUUCACUGUAUUACAGCCAGGAUAGUGAUGGACACUUGUAACCACAGCUCUGAGUCAUAAAGACUCACAUGUUCUGCAACCUCUGAUUAAGAAGGCAGGAAAGUGUGUAAUAGCCACUAGUGAUUUCCAUCCAAAAUAUCUCUUUUUAAGGUCUCAGAUAUUAAUGUCUGGAAAACUAGUGUGAAAUGGUUCAUUCUUGAAUGAUGACAGAAGUAUGACAUAUUACUGGUUUCUCUACAGUUUUCUCAAAACCCACCUCCAAAUUCCAAGAAGCUGCCAACUCUGGGAUUUGAAUUCACUCUAUCUGUGGAAACACAGCUGAGGGAAACAUCCUCAGCCUUUCAGCCAGUCCACACACAAUAAUAAAAAAAAAAAAACGGUUUAGCUCUUACUAAGCAUCUGUCUCCAAUACACGAGGCAUGUUAUACGCAGACUACAUUUUAAUCCUCAAUGGCCCCACUAGGUGAAUACUACACUCCCAUUAGACAGGAAACUGAGGCUCAGAGAGAUCAGACUUGGGCAAGUUCAAGUUAACAUGUGACAAAGAACCCUCAGCCACCUUCACUCCCACAUGCCACUAACCAGACCUGUUCAACUCACUGCCAACCACCACAUGAUGUCCUAAAGGCCACCAAUCCUAUUCAGACAUCCCUUUGUAGGGCCUUGCCCAGAGCCUGAAUAGCCAGGAGAGGCCUCAUCCCUGCCUCUGAGUGUCAGCAACGGUGGAAGGAGGUGCCAACCUGGGCCAUCUAGGGAAGGAAGGGACAGACCCCAGGCCACCCACUGACCAGCCCCUGAGAUCCAGGGCUCAGGCAGUGGGGAGGGUGCCUCUGGGACUCAGGAAAUAACUCCAAGCAUUUCCACACAGGGAAGGCAAGCAUCUCACCGUGCGCACUCCGACAGGAGGGCAGGAGGGCGGAAAGGUGGAAUAGCCCAGAAGAGCAGGCUGCUGCCCAGGCCCCUAGGCCACAUCCGAAGGACGUAUGUCAGGACCCUCCUAGAUUGGCAUGAAUUCACCCACAUUACGGGGCUGGGUCCUACACACCUGUUUGUAAAGAGCUCCCCAGGAAUGUAGUGCUGAGGGGCCACCAAGGGGUGGAUGGUAUAUCCCUGGAGGAUCUCAAAUAGACAAGUUCCCUGUCCUGCCAGGAAUCCAGAUGUUGCCCAGAUGUCCACAGCAGCCCCUCCUAGAGGGUGGGACACCAGCUAUUCUGUGCAGCCCCUCCCAACCCAUCUCCCAGGGUCAAGGGAGGAAAGCUGGCGACCUCCACUGCCCCUUCCCCAUUCCGGCUGUUGGGAGGGGGCAGCUCCCUCAUCCUGGGUUCACUUCUAAGGCAGUCACCUGAGUUCAGCCUGUGAUCUAACCUCUAGUCCUCUGCUGACAGGUUAAGUCUAGAGCCCCAGGAAGGAGGGCGUCCUGGGUCAGUUUCAUUUCACAUAAACGGACUGUCCCUGGAUCCAGGGAAGCGGAUUCUCCCGUUUCCUCCCCGGUGCCUCAGUCUUUUUGGAGGCGCCCUCUGCUGGCCACUGGGAAGUGCAGGAAAGAACAGAGUCCUGCAGACUCAAAGAGCGUCUACAGAAAGGGACAAGAGGUAGAGGCAACCGGGAGCCAACUGAGAGCGGUGGCUGGACUGCCACAAAUAAGAGAGGCAUGCUGAAGCCUUCUUGGAGGCCCCGUUCCAGACCCAGCCAGGGUGAAGAGGACUCCCAGGGGCGGAGAUCGAGGCCCAGGAGAGAACAGAGAGUAUCCUGCUUUAAUUGGAGGAAACCAUUCCAAUCACCGGGAAAGGGGCGUCGGAGGCUAGAGCCCCUGCCGGGCCCCCGGGGGCGUGUCGUCGGCCCGACGCGUCGCCGGCCAGCGGCGUGGCGAGGACUCUGGCCGGCAGCCUCCCGCGCCGUCAGGAGCAGCUGACUCGCUGGCGGCGGGCCAGGUCGUGGCGGGGCCGGGAGGCAGCAACGUGCGGCGCGGCAUGUCGCGGGCUCAGCGGCGGGGAAACGUGGGGGCGGGCCCGGCGCGCCGCCCCCCCCACCCCACGCAGGCCCAUUCAUAAAACCCGCGGGCGCUGCCGGGCCUGGCAGCCUGGACUCCUAAUUGCAAACUCAUUAAGGAGUUUGCAUCUCAUUUGCAUGGAAAUCAUUUCCUGGCCCUAAACAGACGAAUGCCCCCUUCCUUCAGCCCCCUUUGCCCCGCUCUACCCAUCCACAGUCUGGGAGGGGAGAGGGGCCUGUCUCUGCCCUGUGCCCCCUCCUUUGCCUCACCCCUCCCAUCCCCCUGGUGAGGAGUGGGGCAGGGGGGUUGGCAGAGCACCCACCUAGCUGGGAUUCCUACCUGGGCCGCAGGUGAGCCGGCUCUGCCCCAGUGGGUCCAAGCGAGGGGAGGUGCCCGCCAAGUCAUUUGCCCCCCGGCCUGGCCAUGCCCAGGGAAGGGAGGAGGCGGCUGGCGGCUGGCCGCAGCAGCUGGUUGUACCUGGCAGGACUAGGGCUGGUGGGUGAGGCUGUUCGUGCCCAGCCUCACGUACAUGCUUAGCCACAGGCUGUGCUCCCACCCCCACACCCCUCGCCCCACAGAACAAGCGCCCAGUGACUACAGAAACAGACACCCAGUCACGGCGCACAAAGGCACCCACACCGGGCCGGCCAUCAUGGCCGCCGCCCUGGCAGCUACCCUUGGGGGCAGGCAUAUGCCUUCACAAGCCAUUUGGUCCUUCUUCAGCGCCCUGCCAGGGUUGGGGGGAAGGGGCUUCUCUUGAGACUUUUCUGAGUAAGGGGAGCUAGUAGAGGAGCUCUCUUCUGUAUCCCAGACGCAGCUUCUUCCCCUCCUCUUCUGCAACCCAUAUUCAUGGAGGCCCCAGGUGCUGCACCCUGCGUGAGGACGUGCCCAGGCACAGGGUUGCAGGGCCCUCCAACCCAGAAGGGGCAGCGGAGGAGGAAGCCCCUGAGGAAGGAGCACCUAAGUGCCUCCCCAGUGGGGCCCUGUCCUUCCUGUCCCAAAUGUGUGUAUGCUCCCCAACUUCCAGGACGGGGGGAACCUUGUAAACUGUUGGAAAUGGACUAGAAUUACCUAAAGCACAUGAAAUCAGAUUCUACUGGGGACAUAAUGUCCUGGUUCUAUAUAUCCUGAGACAGUUUAAAAAGUAAUCACAAAACUUGUAGCAUUAGGGUCUAAAACAAAAACCUCCUUCUUGUCCAAAUCAUCUGGGUCCCUCCCCAGACAUAGCCCUGCUUAUGCUUCCUGUCUGCCCACACUCCCACCUGCUGCCCCUGAAGUUUCUCCCUUCCCUUGCUAG